RNAcentral lists this ribosomal RNA (468 nucleotides) under uncultured bacterium. RNAcentral describes it as "partial 16S ribosomal RNA". It matches the Rfam family "Bacterial small subunit ribosomal RNA", at positions 28 to 507 of the family's 1533-position model. The record is from RNAcentral.
GACGAACGCUGGCGGCGUGCUUAACACAUGCAAGUCGAACGGAAAGGCCCUGCUUUUGUGGGGUGCUCGAGUGGCGAACGGGUGAGUAACACGUGAGUAACCUGCCCUUGACUUUGGGAUAACUUCAGGAAACUGGGGCUAAUACCGGAUAGGAGCUCCUGCUGCAUGGUGGGGGUUGGAAAGUUUCGGCGGUUGGGGAUGGACUCGCGGCUUAUCAGCUUGUUGGUGGGGUAGUGGCUUACGAAGGCUUUGACGGGUAGCCGGCCUGAGAGGGUGACCGGCCACAUUGGGACUGAGAUACGGCCCAGACUCCUACGGGAGGCAGCGGUGGGGAGUAUUGCACAAUGGACGGAAGCCUGAUGCAGCAACGCCGCGUGCGGGAUGACGGCCUUCGGGUUGUAAACCGCUUUCGCCUGUGACGAAGCGUGAGUGACGGUAAUGGGUAAAGAAGCACCGGCUAACUACGUG